RNAcentral lists this ribosomal RNA (274 nucleotides) under uncultured bacterium. RNAcentral describes it as "partial 16S ribosomal RNA". It matches the Rfam family "Bacterial small subunit ribosomal RNA", at positions 523 to 796 of the family's 1533-position model. The record is from RNAcentral.
AUACGGAGGGUGCAAGCGUUACUCGGAAUCACUGGGCGUAAAGCGCGCGCAGGCGGCUUGAUAAGUUGGAUGGGAAAGCCUACGGCUCAACCGUAGAACUGCAUCCAAAACUGUCAAGCUAGAGUCUGGGAGGGGAAGAUGGAAUUAGUUGUGUAGGGGUAAAAUCCGUAGAGAUAACUAGGAAUACCAAAAGCGAAGGCGAUCUUCUGGAACAGUACUGACGCUGAGGCGCGAAAGCGUGGGGAGCAAACAGGAUUAGAAACCCCGGUAGUCC